GAUGAAGAACGCAGUGAAAUGCGAUAAGUAAUGUGAAUUGCAGAAUUCAGUGAAUCAUCGAAUCUUUGAACGCACAUUGCGCCCCCUGGUAUUCCGGGGGGCAUGCCUGUUCGAGCGUCAUUUCACCACUCAAGCCUCGCUUGGUAUUGGGCAACGCGGUCCGCCGCGUGCCUCAAAUCGACCGGCUGGGUCUUCUGUCCCCUAAGCGUUGUGGAAACUAUUCGCUAAAGGGUGUUCGGGAGGCUACGCCGUAAAGCAACCCCAUUUCUAAGGUUGACCUCGGAUCAGGUAGGGAUACCCGCUGAACUUAAGCAUAUCAAUAAGCGGAGGA
Molecule: unclassified non-coding RNA, 331 nt
Filed under: soil metagenome
Description: partial contains 5.8S ribosomal RNA, internal transcribed spacer 2, and large subunit ribosomal RNA
Rfam family: 5.8S ribosomal RNA (bases 1-120)
Source: RNAcentral